Molecule: unclassified non-coding RNA, 218 nt
Filed under: Hevea brasiliensis (rubber tree)
Lineage: Eukaryota; Viridiplantae; Streptophyta; Magnoliopsida; Malpighiales; Euphorbiaceae
Source: RNAcentral
AGGCUUAGUUGAGUUGAGUUGUGUGUGUGUGCAUAUUGAACGUUUAUGCUUUAUGUGUGUGGGUGGUUGACUUCUUCCUCCUCAGUCCUCACCUUUUUCUGUCCCUGGUGUAAUGUCAAGAAGGGAGCUCUCGGUUUAAAUGUAUGAGCAUGCAUCAUUUUUAGUUUGAAUUUCUGUCAUUGUGUUCUUAUAACAAGCUUUAAUUAAUGAAUUUCUGU